AGAGAGAGAGAGAGAGAGAAAGUAGUGCUGUUGUAGCCACUUGUAAAUAGUUGGGGCAUGGCAUUCUAGCAGUAACAACUAACAAGAGCUCUAUGAUAAGGUUUAGAUUAAAUUUUAUGGGCUAGUAGAAGAGGAGAAUGAAUCAUGCAAGUUGGGGUAAGGAAAUAUGGUUAACUCCUUCCCCUCCUCCCUAGAAAAAGAUUAUCCUUCUGUUUUGUGGGUUCACUGUGGACAUUCCAAAUUAUCUAUAGAAAAAUCAAGCGUUGUUUUUAUAUCUGUUUUCUGUGUCUAUCUGUGUGAAUGUACGGGAGAUAGUCUAUUUCUUUUGUUUGUACAUAUUAAUAAAUAAAGGUGAGAUUAUCUUUUAUUUUCAGUAGAUGGUAAUAUUUUUUUUUAGUGGACAAUGGCAUAUUUUGGUUGCUUUAAAAAUGAAAAUGGAAAGCAAAUCCUAGAAUAGGAUUCCAUUAUGUGGUUUGGUGCAUAAGAAAUCAACAUUUCUUUUAAAUUAUACUGGACUCAUUUGGUUUAGGUGAAAAUAAAAUUUAAGUUUGAUUAUAAUUUUUGAAAUUACCAUUAAGGUAAGUUUGCUUAUCAUAAAUAAUUGGAAUGGGAGUCUUGGAAUAAAAUGUUUGGAUGGCAUUAAUCUCUAUUGCUAUUCCAUCUCCAAAGUGAACCAAAUGGGAUCUACUUGCUCUUUAUGCUUAUGUUAUCUUCAGUUUUCACACUGGACAAAAAGGGUAAAAUGAAAUGGCCAAAAAUUUUGAGAUCGAUACCAUUCAGAUGGACAUGAGAUUUGUCUGUUCCAAAGGUGUGUAGCAGACUGAAGCCUUAUAUUUCUUCCGGAAAUGUGUUCUGUGGAAAUGAAACAAUUCCCAAUUAUGUGUAAUUUAAUCUUUUCAUUUCACUGUGGUAUUGGCUUGGUGAGGUGACCCAUGCUUCAGCUUCUCAAUGUCUAAAUCACAUAUUUAAUGAAUGCUUUUAAUUUUCAGGUGGCAGAGAGAGCAUUG
Molecule: unclassified non-coding RNA, 1007 nt
Filed under: Hevea brasiliensis (rubber tree)
Lineage: Eukaryota; Viridiplantae; Streptophyta; Magnoliopsida; Malpighiales; Euphorbiaceae
Source: RNAcentral